RNAcentral lists this ribosomal RNA (574 nucleotides) under Lentilactobacillus buchneri. RNAcentral's name for it is "bacterial SSU rRNA". It matches the Rfam family "Bacterial small subunit ribosomal RNA", at positions 966 to 1533 of the family's 1533-position model. The record is from RNAcentral. Lineage: Bacteria; Bacillati; Bacillota; Bacilli; Lactobacillales; Lactobacillaceae.
GAACCUUACCAGGUCUUGACAUCUUCUGCCAACCUAAGAGAUUAGGCGUUCCCUUCGGGGACAGAAUGACAGGUGGUGCAUGGUUGUCGUCAGCUCGUGUCGUGAGAUGUUGGGUUAAGUCCUGCAACGAGCGCAACCCUUAUUGUUAGUUGCCAGCAUUCAGUUGGGCACUCUAGCAAGACUGCCGGUGACAAACCGGAGGAAGGUGGGGAUGACGUCAAAUCAUCAUGCCCCUUAUGACCUGGGCUACACACGUGCUACAAUGGACGGUACAACGAGUCGCGAAACCGCGAGGUCAAGCUAAUCUCUUAAAGCCGUUCUCAGUUCGGAUUGUAGGCUGCAACUCGCCUACAUGAAGUUGGAAUCGCUAGUAAUCGUGGAUCAGCAUGCCACGGUGAAUACGUUCCCGGGCCUUGUACACACCGCCCGUCACACCAUGAGAGUUUGUAACACCCAAAGCCGGUGAGGUAACCUUCGGGGACCAGCCGUCUAAGGUGGGACAGAUGAUUAGGGUGAAGUCGUAACAAGGUAGCCGUAGGAGAACCUGCGGCUGGAUCACCUCCUUUCUAAGGAA